Manis pentadactyla (Chinese pangolin) is the source of this 455-nucleotide long non-coding RNA. RefSeq lists it as uncharacterized. The transcript has 3 exons. The record is from RefSeq and is a predicted model, not a curated record. Lineage: Eukaryota; Metazoa; Chordata; Mammalia; Pholidota; Manidae.
AUGGUGCUCAUGUGACAACUGAAGCCUGGCAUGAUGGAUGACUUGGGUAACCUCUGGAGGGGACUUACAUUGUGACCAUAAAGCACAGUGACCGUGUGAAAAACAUUGCAGGCCUGGAGCAAAAGAUAAACUUCAUGCUUGAUGAAAAACAGCAGAAAGAAGACAGUGAAGAAACAUUUCUUUGUUCCGUCCUUCCUUGGUGCUUGCCUGCCUUCUUCACCAACACAUUGGAAGUUGUGGAACGCACGGAUAUGUACUUUACAAUGGAAUUAUAUAUAACGGCAUAACAGUCCAAGCACAAACCACGGAACCCUUGCUCUGCUUGUGUUUCAGAGUAAACUCCUCAUGAUCAACUGCAAAAUUCAUGAAGAAAUAUCAUUAUGGAUGGCCAUAUGGUAGAACAGAAAGAUUAUCCUCAUUCCUAGGAAUGAGGAAAUUCUAUUAAAUGCAGCUUC